CAGAGGGUGCGAGCGUUGUCCGGAAUCACUGGGCGUAGAGGGCGCGUAGGUGGCGGCAUAAGGCUGUGGUGAAAGUCUGGGGUUCAACUCCAGAUCGGCCGCGGCGACUGUGUCGCUUGGGCACCGUAGAGGCAGAUGGAAUUCCGGGUGUAGCGGUGGAAUGCGUAGAGAUCCGGAAGAACACCAGUGGCGAAGGCGGUCUGCUGGGCGGUGAGCUCGCGAGAGCUCAAUAGCCGACACUGAGGCGCGACAGCGUGGGGAGCAAACAGGAUUAGAUACCCUGGUAGUCCACGCCGUAAACGAUGGGCACUAGGUGCUCCGGGGAGCGACCCUUGGAGUACCGGCGCUAACGCAUGAAGUGCCCCGCCUGGGGAGUACGGCCGCAAGGCUG
This 391-nucleotide ribosomal RNA is filed under the name uncultured organism. RNAcentral describes it as "bacterial SSU rRNA". It matches the Rfam family "Bacterial small subunit ribosomal RNA", at positions 526 to 896 of the family's 1533-position model. The record is from RNAcentral.